UUGUGAAGGAAAAUGAGAUUUUCUUAAUGUUCCGUUCAACAAACAGCAAUUUGGUGACAUGGAUGUCACCAAAAGCCCGCAAUGAGCCUGGAUGGCGAAUCGCGGGCGGUUGCGUCCGGUGGACGCUGUCUUGCCGGAAUAUUUAGAAAAUCCAUUUUCCGAAACUC
Molecule: regulatory RNA element, 167 nt
Organism: Lachnospiraceae bacterium 28-4
Lineage: Bacteria; Bacillati; Bacillota; Clostridia; Lachnospirales; Lachnospiraceae
Source: Rfam